RNAcentral lists this ribosomal RNA (206 nucleotides) under uncultured bacterium. RNAcentral's name for it is "partial 16S ribosomal RNA". It matches the Rfam family "Bacterial small subunit ribosomal RNA", at positions 568 to 774 of the family's 1533-position model. The record is from RNAcentral.
UGCGUAGGCGGGUCUUUAAGUCCGGGGUGAAAUCCUGGAGCUCAACUCCAGAACUGCCUUUGAUACUGAGGAUCUUGAGUUCGGGAGAGGUGAGUGGAACUGCGAGUGUAGAGGUGAAAUUUGUAGAUAUUCGCAAGAACACCAGUGGCGAAGGCGGCUCACUGGCCCGAUACUGACGCUGAGGCACGAAAGCGUGGGAGCAAACA